RNAcentral lists this long non-coding RNA (5098 nucleotides) under Taeniopygia guttata (zebra finch). RNAcentral's name for it is "lncRNA (ENSTGUG00000022511.1)". Lineage: Eukaryota; Metazoa; Chordata; Aves; Passeriformes; Estrildidae. The record is from RNAcentral.
GGCGGGGGCUCCGGCCCGGAAUUGCGGGGGAAGGGGGGAUGAGCCGCUCUCCCUGACAAUGCUCCCACUUCAGUACAUUGGGCAGCCUCUCUAGUGCUCUUUGUCGCGUUGUUCAGUCCAGCUCUACCUUCUUGUGCAGGACCCCAUCCCUGCUAGAAGAAGCCUUAACUUUCUGCAUUUCGUAUGGAGGUGUGGUGGGUACACAGACCCUGAUUUCGGCUGUCGGCAGUACAUCCAUCACAGAAUCAAUUCGACUGGAAAAGAUCUCUGCGAUCAUUGAGUCCAGCCUGUGACUGAACCCUAACAACCAGACUGAGUGCCACAUCCAGUCUUUCCUUAAACACCUCCAGGGACAGUGAGUCCACCACUUCCUUGGGCAGCCCAUUCCAAUAUCUAAUUGCCUUUUCUGUGAAGGAAUUCCUCUUAAUGUCCAGCCUCAUAUUCCCCUGGCACAGCUUAAGGCUGUGUGCUCUCUGCAUGCUAGGUGCUGCCUUUCAGGUCCUGCCUGUUACAAAGAGCAGGGAGAGGUGUUUGCAUUCAUUGUCCUCAGUGUCCCUGCAUGGAAGAAGCAAGAUAUUCCCCCCGCCCUCCCCAGCUUUUCAGGUACUGUUGUUUAGCAAUUUCUAAUAAAGCUUUGCUUCAGAGUUGACUAAUAUUCAGCUGUGAUGGAUUUUGACCCCUCUUGAGGCUGUAUGGGGAGGAUUUGGUCUCCUAAAAUAGUGUUUGCCUGUUUCAGAGGAGGCACAGGGCUGAAAAAUUCAUGAGACCAGCGUGACUAGCUAAGGAUGCAGCUUCUAACUUCAGAAUGAGCUGAUAGGUUGACCUGAUAGAUGUGUGUGUGUGUGAGUUGAUGAGGUUUUUUGUCCUUACUUGACAUGGUAAAUAUUCAUGUUAAUGUAUUUCCAGCUUUGAAUGAGGAGACAGACUUCAUCAAAGUAUUUAGCUGCUUAAAUAUCCUGAUACAGAAAUGUUUAAAGUAUUUAAGCAGCCUUUGUGAGUGUCCAAAAUCUUUGUAUCCUGGAUAACACUUCUGUAGAACUUGAAGAUGAAAAACCAGUCUUUUUGUGUAUUAGUUCAUCUGUAUGUCAGCUGUCACCCUACCUGAGAAGAAGCAACAUUUUUAGUGAUUAAGAAGUCCUGUUCUGGCAAAUUAUGGACAUGCAGCAUAUCUGGUGGUAUAAGUGUUGCCAUAGAUGAUAAAACUAGAUACCAAACAUUCUUUCUGCUUUUUCUCUUUUGUUAGAAAUUGUUUAUCCUUGAAUAGAAAAAGAAGAAAACUUGACUGUUUGCCCAGAUUUGCAGCUGCUCUCUAAAGGGAGGAAAAGAUCAGCAGCGAAUUUGGAAGUUACCCUGCUGGCACCAUCUCUGAUGGUGCAGUGCAGUGGUUGAGUUAUGCCUUCAAUGAACUGGAAUCCCACUAUAGGAAUAAAGUUUAUUUUUACUCAGCCUAGAGCAGAAGCACAUAUUGGUAGUGACUCGCUGUGCGUUCCCACUAUGGAACUGUAAAUGGUGUUGAGGAGGAGUAGUGGGAGAUAAGAGCUGCUGAGGGAGGUAAUAUUGGUGAGGUGCUUGCUAGAGAUGGUUCCUGUCUCUGGGCCUGGGGCAGCUGAGGCCGUGGCGAGGGCUGUUCUGAAAGGACAGGCCAGUGCUGCCUGCUGCCAGCAAAUCUGUGGGCUGGAAAACCUGCGGCUGUGGGCACAGCCCGCUGCCAAGCAGGAUGUGCUUUGUGCAGGGAUAAGUUUGAAUGUUAUGAUGUGAAUAAGAACCCCCUGUUUUUCAUCACCGAUGAGAGCCAAGAAAUACAAGAUCAAAGAGGCAUCAAGAAAUGACAGGAGGUUGCCUGGCUGAGGUUAACACACUGGUGGGGCCUGGCAGUGAGAACACUUGCAUCUGCCUGUCUAGACUGAUGCUCUGGGUAAAGCCAGCAGGAUUGGAAUCCUUAAAACCCUGAUUUACCAAGGGCUGUAGAAAUGAGAUGAUAAGCUUUAUUUUAAAAGACUAAGAAAAGAUUCUGAGAAGUCUUGGUUCUUUCUUCCAGCAAUGUGGAGACUGUGUGUGUCUUCAUUCUAAAGUGGAGACAGGAAGGGUUAUAUGUGGACAGUUAAUCUUCUUGUAGGGUUAGUGGGGAAACACUGUAACCUCUGCUGGUGUUAUUAGUGUUGGAAAGCUUGUGAGUUUCAGAACUGAGGCUAACCAGUGUGCUGCCCUUCUUUUUGGGUGUCACAUCAGCCUUUACUGGAUGUCCAUGUGGACAGUAAUGCUGGCCUGAGGUGAAAUUUCUGUUAAUCUUCUCCUUGGUCAUGUAGUCUGUGAUCUAAAUGCUGCUGGGAAGGGGAGAGGAGAGUUCUGCUAUUCCUGCUUUCUCAUUGUUCAGUGGGUAUUUGAUUCUUACAUAUGUGUGCUCUGUUUUAACCUUUGUGGUUUUACAAUGCAUCAACUAUUAUAGGUUGUUACCAGAAUAUAAUGACCAAGCCAUGUUUUUCAAAUUUUUAAAGUUGCCUUGCACAUUUAGGAUGCGUAUUGCUCAGUUUACUCAAAUAUUCUUUCUGCUUUGAUGUUUAACUUAUGAUGAAUGAAGAGAGAGUUUGGUGACAAAAAGGUACCUCUGGUGGCUUUUUCUUCACCUCUGAGUAUGUGCAGGGAGUUUACUUCUCUAAGUGUUCUUACUGUGGCAGUUAAGGGCUUCUGACAUGGAGAAAAGAGCAAUCUGACCUUCUUCAGUGCAAACAAUGCUUUAAAAUGGCACCUGAUCAGGCCUUUAAAAAUUAUUUUCAUAUUUAAUAUUGUGGCCUCUACCAGAGCAUUGAAAAGGGUGUUCAGAAACUGAAUUUAACUUGGGAACAGGAGUUAUCUCAUCUGUUAAACAAGUCCUAAUGUUGGUAACCUGCCAUGGGGAGCAGAGAUAGAAUGACAUUAGCGUCUAUGCAGGGAAUGUUACCAUUAUAAAACAUGAUCUCAGUCAGCUACAGGAUGGGCUAAUGUCCCUGUGGAAGGCCAAGCAGAGGCACUUAUUCCAAAUUAACAUAGGACUCAAUUGAGCACUUGAAAUUUCUGCUGUGUUGCCAGAGGCCCAAACAGAGAUCUACAGGAGCUCUGCUGGGACAGUAGAGGCAACAUUCUUUGUAUAUAAUCUUCAUAGAAACAGAAAACAGGAAAACCCAUUCCGGUAUAGGCAGGCAACAUCAAAAUGUUGCACUCAAGCAAAUAGGUCUCUGUCAUUUAUCUGGGGACUUUAUAUAUGUUCUCACUUUCCAUCUGGGAAUUGAGCUGCAUUCCAGCCCAUGCUAUUGUUCUAAUCUGUUUGGAAGUUGCCUGUGCCAGGUUUACUGCAGCUGCCGUUCUGUUAAUGUGAGCAGUUGGUGCUUAUGAUAGCACAUGUUGGUCAAUCAGAGCUUCUGCACUGUUUCUGCCUCUCAUCAUUUGAGAAGGUCUUUAAUGCAACCUAAUGAGAUUAGGGUUCAUUUGUUCUUGGGUUCCCAGCUAAGUUUUAAAAGGGUAAAGAGCAUUUCAGGUCAUUGCUUAUUCCAAAGAAGGACUGCCAUUCCUAUCAAGCUGUGGUUCUCUGGCAAUAUGAAUUGGUUCACUAAACACCUCCGGUAGUCUCACCCUUGCGGUACAAUCCAGUACUUCAGCUCUUGCUUUACACCGAUUUUCAUACCACUAUGUUGCCACUGUAUGGUAUUUAUUUUCAUGUGUAUACACAUUUUUUAAAUCAAGUGAAAAAGAGGAUUGUGUCAAGGAAAAUAAUAUGAGCUGGCAAAAGUCUAUCCAACUAUGUGAGACUAACACAUGAUGCUUGUAUUUUCAUGUAAUUUUUUUUUUUUGUCUCCUGUAUAGGAAGUGUUAAUGAUAAUUUCUACAGUAUUAUCUUUGCUAAUACCUCCAUUCGCAUUCUUAUCCUGGAUAAAGAGAGGAAAAUUGAAGAGGGUAUGUCACCAAUGUGGUAGUGGAAGUAGUCUGAAGCAUAGCAAUCUAUGGGCACUUCUUUCUAAGUGUUUGAAAUCGGAGCUGAGUUGUUCAGAGCAUCCCUACUGAGGGGAAUAUCCACUUUGUACAAAAUGCAGAGGCUCUUGGGUAAGGCAGAUAAACUUAACUUGAUAGAUUUUUGCAUGCUUCCUGAUAAUAGCUUCAGCACUUGGCAAAUUCUAAUGAGGCUUUUUGCAGCUCUGCCAUGUGUCAGCACUUGUACACACAGCACAGCAUGGAUCCAAAUCCCAGAGUAACCAACAGGGUGAUGGCUUUAUCUUCCUCACCUCUGAAUAAGACUCUUAACCCAAAGAAACCUUCUUAAUCUGAAUACAAGGAUGUAAUUUUCGUGUGACUUUUUUUCAUUUUCAUGCCUAUUAAUAAAUCUGUGUUCUUAUAAAAUGUGAGUUAAAAUGGAGCACACUUUACUUUUGAGGUUAACAUGAAUUCCUCAAAACAUGUAGCUGUGAAUGUUUGCUUUGAUGGCUGAGAAACUACUGUUACUGGCUGAUGUUGAUUAAGCAUUAUUUGUAUUUAGAAAAGCACAAAUGAAGACUGAAACUAAUGUAAAGGUGGAGAAGGUCCAAAGUUACUGUAAAAUUCUUAUUUUUAUUCCCUUGGAUGUACAGAUAUUUUCAUCCUUUCACUUAAACAACUGGAUUGUCCCACUAGAAACAGUUAAGAUUUUAGGAAAAAGAACAUUUACUCUUUAUUUACUUUGUAUUUAAUAAACUUAACACAGCAAGGCAAGUAUAUCAUAAAUGCUUUAAGAUCCAAAAUUAUGAUUGGGCACAUUCAAAUAGUACUCAACCUGGAGUGGUUAUGAAUCUCAAAUAUUCUGAGUGAUUAUGUGUUUAUAAUUCCCUCGUAAUCUUUUCUCCUGUUUAGACACAGGAUGUGUUUUAAACAAGAAAAUCAGACAAUAUGAUUAUAGUUGAAAACAAAAUUAAUAUAGGGGACCAGCUGAACAUCUCUAAUUGGAAGAAAAGGAGAGCUUUUUAAAAAGUAUUUAAGAGGGUAUAUAAAGAGGGAUUUUUUUAAAGUAAAUAUGGAACUAGACUGUAUAAACUCUCUGAGACCUAAGUGCAAUUAAUAAAUGUACUUGUAAAAGCAGAAAGAGUGCAAAUCCUCU